AAGCUGUGAAAGUUCAUGACCACAUUGGAGAACUCCUCACAGUUAAAACAAAUUGGAUAAAAUUAUAAACACCCUACAAAGUGGAUGUUUCUCAAGAUCAGUCUUCCUAAUUAGUCAAGUUGGUUUCUUCUUGAAUUCGACUUUGAGGAAACAACGAAUUUAGAAAAGUAGAGGAAAACGUCCUGUGAAUAGUUAGGGAGCAGUGCCACUUAGUGGCCACACAGGAAAUUAACCCCAAGCAAAGUGGAACAGAAAGGUUGCUUGUGAAUAACAACUUAUUUGUACUAAUUUAAAUAGUAUGCACUCUUGAUAAAAAGAAUGAAGGGAAUAAGGUGCAUUUUAACAUUUGGUUUCAGAACAGGCAGUCAUAAUUUGCUGCUUCUUCCCACCCCCACUUCUUUAGACUUGCUUUGCAUAAGAAAAAUACCCUGCGCACAACUCACUUUAAUGUAGGAAAAUUGUGUCAAUCCACAUUAUGGACUGCAUACUUGUCGUAUCACCAGUAAGCUAAUUCAGGCUUACAUGGCUGCUGCAUGGAUUAGUUAGUGGGUAUUUUUACUAUGUAUUACAAGUAAAUUCUACUCAGAGUAAACCUAUUAAAUGAAUCAAAUUUAGCCAUGUUCAUUCAUCUCUGUAGUGCAGCUCUGAGGAAAACCUGGUUGAAUACUAUCUGAUUUUUUGUAUUCAUAUGCAUAGUUUAAAUUAGUCUGCAUUUAAAUUUAUUUUAAAAAGAGUCAAGUUGCAAUAUGCUGAAGUUGUAUUCAAAUCAAUGGGGUUUGCUUUCAAGUGAAAAAGCAAUAGGACUGAGCUGGACACUUAAGGAGAAAGAUACCAGAACAGGCUUCAAAUCACACACCACAGUUUCCCUUUAAACAUUUCACUUCCUUUUGCUUACAGUUCUGUAAUCACAACUACUAAUAUUAAUUACCACUCUCUUCCUACCUACACACUGACCACUCUUUGAUUUCUUUAGAUUAGUUUUGGGGAACCUGCGGUGCUCCAGAACUCCCAUCAUCCCUGACCACUGGCCAUUGCUGGCUGGGCAUGAUGGGAACUGAACCUCUGACAAGCCACAGGUUUCCCUCCCCUGGUGUAAGGAAGAGAGUUAAUCAAUGAACAUCUAGGCAGAGAAUGCCAUUAGCACUUGUGACCACAGAACUUACUGUGGAUUAAGUAUUCUGCAUUUAAAAGUUUAACAUUGUGCAUGCAUAAUCCCGUGCACUGUGUCAAAAAGGCUUGCUCCCUUUUGUGUUUAGAGAUGCGGCUGAUGUGGACCCAAACACUACAAUGUUUGUAUUAGCAGAAUGGCAAAGUUGUAUGGCUUUUUAAACUAACCAAUGCAGCAUAUGUCCACAGCAUAGUACCCACUGAGGGUACUAUCAGCUAUUGGAUCUUUGCAGCUUGCCUUCUUUGUUUCGAGUUGGUACCCUUAACUUUCUCGAAAUAUAAGAAUGUGUGCCUAUCAUUCCUUCAGUCUCAAACUCCCAAGGAACACUGUUACUGGCAAAAGUACUGAGAGUUCCCUCUUGGAGCAUUGGUGGAGACACAGAACUCUACAGGUUUUCCGGGUAAAAAGUCCCCUGACUUCUGGUACCAGAGUAGAACUUGCUCAUUGGGGUGAAGUACUGAUUUCUUGGUUCUGUGCAGGCUGUAGUCUGGGAAAUAAAUGAUCUGCCUCUUGCAUUCUGGGCAAGUUGUCCAGGAUUGUGUAUCAAGAAAAUGGCCAUGGAGCACAUCACUGCAUGUGACAAUUGUGUUUAUGUAUUUCACAGCAAGUAUUCAAACUAGGAAUUUGCAAGUGGAGUUUCUUAGCCUUCUAUUUACCAUGUGUACAUUUUUAAAUAGGUAGCAUAAUGAUGAGCUCUUCUCACACCAGUACCAUCCCUAUCACACCUCUGCUCUUCUCACACCAGUACCAUCCCAGUUUCCAUGAUGCUGCAGACAUUCAGUAGGCAUAUAUGACCAGUUUCCCCAGGUGCAACCACUGGCCUGGUUUGCAUGUCACAAAAACUGAAACCAUGACUUAAUGCACAUGUGCAUGUUCCUGGAGAGGAGCUCACAGCCACUUUGCUGCUUCCUGGUUAUUUGCAGCACAGACCUAAACCAUGGUUUGCGUGUCAUUCAAACCCAGUUUGUGGUUUAGCUCUCCUGAAUACACAACCACAAACCAUAAAGCAGGUAUGGGGAAACUCUGACCCACCAGAUGUUGCUGAACUACAACUGUUAUCACCCCUAACCCCUAAUCACAAGCCACACUUGCUAGGGCUGAUGGGAGUUGUAGUUCAGCAACAUUUAGAGGGCCAACUCCUGUUGUAAACCAUGGGGCAAACCUCGGUUACAGUACAUGGUUAUUACACUCAAGCCAGGGUUUGGACAACAGCCUAAGCCAUGUUGUGGCCUAGCACAAGACAGUGGCACAGCAGAAUGACCAGGGAGGAGCAAUCUAGAUAUAAUAGCCACAAACCCUCCAAGUGUCCUAUUUUAUAGGGACGUCCCUGAUUUAGAGAAGCCGUCCCAGUUUCUGAUUUCAUCCUGGAAUGUCCCACUUUUCCUUAGGAUGUCCCUAUGUUCAUUGGAGAAAUGUUGGAGAGCAUGGAGUUACCUGACCUCCAAGCCAUCUGAAGGCAAUCUUGUAUAGGGACCCGUCUGGCAUGGCUGGGGCAACCCAGUAAGAUGUGUGGUAUAUAAAUAGUAAAAUUAUUAUGGAAUGGGGCAUCCCUAUUUUCCUCAGAGAAGUGUUGGGAGGGUAUGUAGCCAUGUUUGCACUAAGCCAUGGUUCGGCUCCUGUAAAAAGUGGGUUCACAUCAGGCUCAGUGAAGAGAGGAGCUACUUAUACCUAACAGAAGAUGGUCAGCUGGCAGAAAAGCCAAGAAGGAAAUGGUGCACAAUAGAUCAAUGGGAGCCCAAAGCAAAAAGUAUACCCAGGGAAAUGUUAGGACUGGGUGAGGUGGAAUCCUAUUUAGGACUAGCAAAUUCAUUCAGUGUGUCAAUCUUUUAGGGGUUGGAAUGGCGUGGGACUGGCUGGUGCUCUGAAAUCCAGCCUGCAAACGCAGCAAUGUUUCAUUUCAGACUCCAAGGGGAAAGUUGGGCUGCAGGUUCUGUCUCUGAAAGUUGCUCCAGCUACAUCAUCCAGUUCUGAUUUUCUGGUGGGGCAUCUCCUCUUCUAACUGCAGGAAUGGCAGACACAGACACGUGGGACAAUUGCUUCCCGGUCAGGCCUCUAAAAUGAGCCUGUGGGAGAGCAAAGCCUCUUUAACUGGAUCUCUGUCAUGGUUCAUUGCCCCCACAGACCCCGUUAAGAGCAUCUGCAAGCCCCUGGAAUCUUGCAGCACUAGUGGAGACUGGAGUGGAGUGUGACAAUAUCUAGCUGCAGGCAUGCUUGUUAAGAAAUAUUGCCAAAUGUAAAGGCUCUAGGCAAACCAAUAUCCUACCCUAUCUGGCUUCAGAGAAAGUUGCCUAUAUGGUGUUGCAUGAGCAAGAAGUAUCCUAAUGUUUUCCCUUCCAUGGAAUAAGAGAACAGAACUUUGCACCAUGCCCUCUGCUGGUAAAAAGGAUGAAAUUCAUAAAUAUCUAGUAAAAGUGAUUCAACUGAAAGGAAAUGUAUCUUCAGGCCAGUUAGCUAUGAUAAUUAACCAGUUUUUGUUUCAUUUUGAAUCUAUGUAGAGAACAGCCACGUACACAAAUUUAUAUUUUAGGGAUUAUUAUCUUACUCCAGUGAGAACAUUGGGAAUAGUAACACAUAAACGCAAGAUGUGUAAAAUAUUAGCAAUAUAUAUUUUUUUUAAUGCUAUAAUACUAAAAUCUCCAGCUCAUCCAUAACUUAAUGAAAUGAAAACCUAUUCUUGAUUUUAGAGGUAACAGUAACUCUCAAAGAGGUUUAAAAAAUGUAUAAACCCACUCACCCAAUACACUACAAGACAAAUAUCUCACAUUGAUGUUUUAAAACCGUGAAUUUAAUUGUGGUGCAUUUCAACUCAAUACCAGAUUAGCAAAACGUAAGAGGGUCACAACUCCUACCUACCUUCCCUGGUAACCCUCUACCAAAAACCAAGUUCAGUCUUGAAACCACACUUGUCUGAAAAAAAGGCAGUAGCUAAAAUGAUUAAUAAGAGAACAGGAAAGAGAAGGGAAAUAAAAUAAAAUCAAAUUGGGCAGAAUGAGAUAGCCUCCCCAUUUCAUUCACAGGAAAUCCAUCCAGAUUUUCUAGAAGAGUUUUGAUUACACUCUUCCGUUAUAAGCCAGGCAUCCUUUCACAGUCUGGUCUAUCAGACUCAUCCUAAAACAUUGGGCAGUUUGCAAUGCUGUAGAAUUUAUCAAGGCCAACUUUUGUAUGCAUCCAGUUGUCAAUGUAGCAAGAACAUGUUCAAUAACUUCUACACUGCUAAGAUAUCUGCUAGUUCUUAGGGUGGACAACAUGGAGGUAAAGGGUUGAAUCCAAUAAUAGCCAUACGAAGAGUAGACCCAUUGAAAUUAAACAUCUACUGACUUAUUUGCAACACCAAGGUUUAAAUCUUACACUCUUCCAAUUCUUCUAGAGAGUAGUAUGUCAAUUACCUGAUUGUACUAAAGGGGAGAUUUCAUUUUAAUAGCACAAACAGGCCUGCAAUUACACUUCUAGCACACUUUGGGGAUAAAUGGAUCAGAAGCAAAGCUUUCCAAAAUUCCAGCAAGAGAAAAAUAAAUAGGGUUGAGCUAUCAGAAUAAUCCCACUCCACAGCUAUAUAUUUCUGUUAAUGUUGGACGUCAUGCAACCAAACCAAUUGUCAUGAUGCAGGUUUGGAAGAUAUAUGUUGCCAUUUGGAGCACUGAAACCCCAUCUCUGACCAUUAGACAUUUUAAACCAACCUUAAAUUUUGAAUUUUUCAGCAGGCAUUGUCCCCUCACUUUGAAGCAUACGUUUCACAAAUGCUGAAGAUUAGAUGCUUUCUCUUUCAAAUAUGAAAGCUGACGUUCGGAGCAAUCCAUAUUCUGUUCUGAUCUACUACAUUCUGUGCACUUUUACAGAACACACGCUUUUCAAGAUGAAUUAUUCUUUUUUUAAAAUACAAAGUGGUAUGUCUUCUGACACCUAAGUGAUUCCAGAAUGAGUGAAGAAAUGUUAUGUUUUAUGUUGUGAACUGCCCUGAGAUCUGCAGGUGAAGGGCAGUAUAUAAAUUUAAUAAAUAGUAAUUAUUAUUUUUAAAAGAAAUCUGAAAUUGUGAAUGUCGGAAUAUACAGGAAAUGAAUGAAAUAUUUGUCAAUGCACAUUUUGUACACAUAUUUUAAUGGUUAAUGAGCAAUGGCGAAUGGACAUAAACAAACGUGGGACAUUUCCUCUCUCUCCCCCCAACUUUCCUUUUGUAGCUGCUGCCAUGUAUGCACUUCUAAAUUGUUCAAAAGCUGAAAAUAAAAGGACUGCUACUAAGCAUUC
RNAcentral lists this long non-coding RNA (5410 nucleotides) under Podarcis lilfordi (Lilford's wall lizard). The record is from RNAcentral. Lineage: Eukaryota; Metazoa; Chordata; Lepidosauria; Squamata; Lacertidae.